AGUGAACGCUGGCGGUAGGCCUAACACAUGCAAGUCGAACGGCAGCACAGUAAGAGCUUGCUCUUACGGGUGGCGAGUGGCGGACGGGUGAGGAAUACAUCGGAAUCUACUUUUUCGUGGGGGAUAACGUAGGGAAACUUACGCUAAUACCGCAUACGACCUACGGGUGAAAGCAGGGGAUCUUCGGACCUUGCGCGACUGAAUGAGCCGAUGUCGGAUUAGCUAGUUGGCGGGGUAAAGGCCCACCAAGGCGACGAUGCGUAGCUGGUCUGAGAGGAUGAUCGGCCACACUGGAACUGAGACACGGUCCAGACUCCUACGGGAGGCAGCAGUGGGGAAUAUUGGACAAUGGGCGCAAGCCUGAUCCAGCCAUGCCGCGUGGGUGAAGAAGGCCUUCGGGUUGUAAAGCCCUUUUGUUGGGAAAGAAAAGCAGCAGGUUAAUACCCCGCUGUUCUGACGGUACCCAAAGAAUAAGCACCGGCUAACUUCGUG
RNAcentral lists this ribosomal RNA (492 nucleotides) under uncultured bacterium. RNAcentral describes it as "partial 16S ribosomal RNA". It matches the Rfam family "Bacterial small subunit ribosomal RNA", at positions 29 to 507 of the family's 1533-position model. The record is from RNAcentral.